This 468-nucleotide ribosomal RNA is filed under the name uncultured bacterium. RNAcentral describes it as "partial 16S ribosomal RNA". It matches the Rfam family "Bacterial small subunit ribosomal RNA", at positions 28 to 507 of the family's 1533-position model. The record is from RNAcentral.
GACGAACGCUGGCGGCGUGCUUAACACAUGCAAGUCGAACGGAAAGGCCCUGCUUUUGUGGGGUGCUCGAGUGGCGAACGGGUGAGUAACACGUGAGUAACCUGCCCUUGACUUUGGGAUAACUUCAGGAAACUGGGGCUAAUACCGGAUAGGAGCUCCUGCUGCAUGGUGGGGGUUGGAAAGUUUCGGCGGUUGGGGAUGGACUCGCGGCUUAUCAGCUUGUUGGUGGGGUAGUGGCUUACCAAGGCUUUGACGGGUAGCCGGCCUGAGAGGGUGACCGGCCACAUGGGGACUGAGAUACGGCCCAGACUCCUACGGGAGGCAGCAGUGGGGAAUAUGGCACAAUGGGCGGAAGCCUGAUGCAGCAACGCCGCGUGGGGGAUGAAGGCAGUCGGGUUGGAAAACGCUUUCGCCUGUGACGAAGCGUGAGUGACGGUAAGGGGUAAAGAAGCACCGGAUAACUACGUG